CUGUCGGCAGCAGAGAGCAAGCAGCUGGCUUGGAGAAGUCAGACUGCUGUCUCGCCUCUUCUUCCUGCACACCAUAGCUGUCAAUGCUGCUGUUCACAUGGGUGUGUUGCAGGGACAAAAACAAGCACUGAAAAUGGUACCUUCUGGCUGUUACUGCUGCAGAAUUCACUCUGAAACAGUUUUUGAUUGUGAAAUGUGGCUUCUCGGGUUCCUGCUGUUGCCAGUAGAGCCAAGAGGCAAGAGCAAGAGAGGCAAGAGACAAGAGAGAGCCUAAGAGUCAAGUCAACAAACAGGAGAACUCAGCUUGGGUGACUCUGACUGGUGAAAGGGACCAGCACCCCCCUCCACUGCAGAGUCUUGAAGAGACAGUAACAAUUUUGAGCACAGAUAGGACUCUGUACAAACUGGGACAAUACUGACUUGGCAUUCCACAUCACUUGAGGUACUAUUUGCCUGGAUGAAACAAUAUUAUAUUUACUGGAAAAUUCCAACCCAGGUUAUGGCCAGGAGGAGGACUGGCAGACAACUACAUCUAACCCUAAGCAGCACUCCUGGCCCUACACUGGAUAAGGCUCUUGAAGCUCUACUGGGCCACAGUAGCUGCCCCAGCACCUCCCUCCCAUUGCAACACCCUUUGGAAUUCAGCAAUUUUUCAGUUUACAGCCUUUGGACCUCCUGGCAUUAGGGUCUGGGCUGAUGCUUCCUUCAUUAAAGCUUUAUCCUCACCUGUUGAGAUUUGCAAAGA
Passer domesticus (house sparrow) is the source of this 745-nucleotide long non-coding RNA. RefSeq lists it as uncharacterized. The transcript has 3 exons. The record is from RefSeq and is a predicted model, not a curated record. Lineage: Eukaryota; Metazoa; Chordata; Aves; Passeriformes; Passeridae.